RNAcentral lists this long non-coding RNA (11171 nucleotides) under Xyrichtys novacula (pearly razorfish). The record is from RNAcentral. Lineage: Eukaryota; Metazoa; Chordata; Actinopteri; Labriformes; Labridae.
UGACAUCAACUGUCUGGGCUGCACCUUUCAUGCACGUCACGAGGGGGUGUGGUCAAGGCGCGAUGAUUGAAUGAUUGAAUGAAUGGACAUAUAGUCACCUGGGUGCUGCGGCGGCUGCAUGGAGAGGGGGUGAGUAGGGAGAGCGUAUUUUUUGUUGACCGCUUGAUUUAAACGUCAAACUAAGCCCAUAGAUCAUCUUGCCUUGCCUUGCCCUGUCUGUCUGUUUGUGCGGCGUUGGAAAUAAAUGUGAACUCAAUCGGAAAACACGGAAAUGGCUUGUGGUUUGUGUAGCGAGUCACCAAUGCGGAAGCUCCCUCACUUAGCCUCUCAGUGACUUUGUUUUCGUUCCUAGUCACUAUAUUUUGUCAACAAAAAAGGAGUACCAACACCCGAACGGCAUAUACGGACGCGAUCACGCCACACGGUGUCUAACUGCAACGCCAGACUGAUCGCAACGUGGACUUCAGACCGGUAGGACUGUAUCACUCGCAUCCAUUCAUUCUGUGUAUGUUGGACGGAACGCAGUUUGAUUACAGCGCAUACAGCGCAUCCAUUGGGGAGCGCUGUGCGUGUGUGAAAGUCCGCUGAGACAGCCUGUCCUGCUCGUUGAGAGUAAAUACCUGUGGUGUUUUCCGAUGUUAAUUGAUGUGAAACAAUCUGUGGAAAAAUAAAACUAUGCUGGGUGUAUUGUGGAUUCACUGCGCGAACCACUGAACUGCCGAAUCUCAAAAGGACAAUAUGAGUGAAGCCAUGGAACAAGUGGAAAACAAUGAAACUGUGGUUGCUAAAAGGAAUGUGAAACUUACUGCAAAAGCAUUGGCAUAUAAAGUGGUAAAUCUACAAAAUGAACGUAAAACACAUGUGAAUAAAAUAAAAGGCUUAAUACCUGCAAUGAAAGAGCUGAUGAAACGAAAGGAAAAUGUACAGGAAGUGAAAUCUCAGUUGCAAACUAUUACUCAGCUCCUUGAUACUGCUAUCAACCUGCAUCAAACAAUAAUUCCACUGUUACCUGAGGAUGAAAAACUUAAACAGAAUGAUUGGUUCUCCAGUAUUGAACGUUACAGCAGUACAUUCAAGGAUGAUGUGAUUCAGUGGUUGGAUGAGAAUGAACAUGUUCUAAAUAUCGUGGAUAAUGAUGAGGCCGCAGCAACAAAGCAUGUGUGUGACCCUCAAAUAUAUGAUGCUUUACAGGCAGCAGCACAGGACACAGGCCCCAUCACACCUUAUGAAGGUCUACAGGAUGACGUGAACCCAAGUGAUAGCAUAUCAAAUGUGCAAAGCAAACGAUCUGCAAAAAGUGCUGUGAGUGGAAAAGGCUCUGGGAGUGGUAAAAGGUCCAACGUAUCAGGAACUUCUUCUGCUCGCAUCAAGGCAGAAGCUGAUUUAGCUGCACUGAUGGCACGGCAAAAACUUUUACAGGACAGACAUGCACUGGAAGAGGAGGAGCAGCAAAUACGGAAACGCAAGGAAAAGCUCAAGUUGGAUGAAGAGAUUGCUGCACACUUGGCUAAAGUGAGCGUUCUAAGGGCUGCAAGCAUAUCUGGUUCGAAGAGUAUUACAACAGACAGGUCCAAUGCAAUGAGUUCCUACGUUAAAAAUGAACAAGAAACAACAAAGUUCAAUGUCAAUGCCACUCCUUUCAUUCCUCUGAGGCUGGAAACAUCUAAACAGCAAUCGAAAAUCAUGGACAGUGACCCUGUGACAAGGCCUAAAUCAGAUGGAUCGACCCAUGCUGUUCACUUUCAGCCUCCCACUUUGAAGAGCCACUUACCUGAUUUUAAUCCUCUGCUCAAUGCUCAUAAUGAUCACUUACAUCAUGGAAUCAGUCUUAAUGUUGGGGAUUCAGCAAGUCAUGGGGAGCAAAACAAUGUUCUUGACAUCAUGAAAAGACAGAAUGAAAUUACAACACUACUGAUACAACAGCAGCAACAUGCGCUCUUGCCUAAAAGAGACAUCCAGGUGUUUGAUGGUGACCCACUGCAGUUCCAUACGUUCCUGAGAGCCUUUGAAAACUGUAUUGAAAGCAAGUCCAACAGUCAUAGUGAUUGCCUGUACUUCCUCGAGCAAUACACUAGAGGUCGUCCAAGAGAUCUUGUGAGAAGCUGCCAGCAUAUGGACCCAAACAGGGGCUAUGCUCAAGCUAAAAUCCUAUUACAAGAACAUUUUGGGGAUGAACAAAGGGUUGCUGCUGCUUAUAUGGACAAGGCGUUGUCAUGGGCUCCAAUAAAAUCAGAGGACGUUAAAGCUCUCCAAGAUUAUAGCCUAUUUCUCAGAGGCUGCGCAAAUGCGAUGAACGAAGUGCAGUAUAUGUUCGAAAUGGAUAUGCCUGCUAACAUGCUGACAAUAAUAAAAAAACUGCCUUACAAGCUGAGGGAUCGAUGGAGGACAACUGCUUGUGAAAUACAAGAAAGACGUAACCAAAGGGCUACAUUCAAUGAUAUUGUCCAUUUCAUUGAAAGGCAAGCAAGGAUUCUAACAGACCCAGUAUUUGGAGACAUUCAAGACUCAUCACCAGCAGUAAACAGAGGCAUGAAUCGAACCAGCUUAAAACCUAGAUCUCGGCCAAAGGGAAGUAGUUUCGCCACAACAGUGACUACUGUACAGCACAAUUACACAGCAACAAAAGGAAGGAGGCCAGACACAACCUCAUCAGCCAAGAAAGUCUGUCUGUUUUGUGAGGGUGGGCACACAUUGGAGUAUUGCUCUCGAAUGGAGAAGAGGACUCACACUGAAAAGAUCACCUUUUUAAGGGAAAAGGGAAUAUGCUUCGGCUGUUUGUGUAUAGGACACAUCAGCAAGGACUGUCGAAAGCGCCUGUCAUGCAAAGUGUGUAGUUUGAAACACCCCACAAUGCUUCACAUCCAUUCAAAGGAAAAGGACCCAGUGACAGAAGAAGAACCAGGCGCCGCAGUGGGCUGUGCUCUGGUAUCUAAUGGGUUGACUGGGGCUGGUGGCCAUGAGUGCAAGCUUCCUAUAGUUCCUGUAUUGGUUAAAUCCAAGAAAGGUAAUCAUGUAGUGGCUACUUAUGCCUUCUUGGAUCAAGGUAGCACGGCUGUUUUCUGCACAGUAAACCUCAUGAACAAGCUCAACCUCUCAGGAAAAAGGACAAGAAUCCUUUUGCGGACAAUGGGUCAGGAGAAGGUCGUUAACAGCUGUGUGGUCACGGGACUGGAGGUGGCCGGUUUGGACGGAGAGACAUACUGUGAUUUGCCCAACACCUAUACACAGGAGUGCAUGCCGGUGCAUAGAGGAAAUAUUCCAUGUCAAAAGGAUCUCGAGAGGUGGGCAUACUUGAGAGAUGUUCACUUACCUGAUAUCGACUCCGAAGUUGAGCUGUUGAUUGGAACAAACGUACCAAGGGCACUGGAACCAUUACAAGUCAUCCGUAGUGUGGACAAUGGACCGUAUGCCAUCAAGACUAUUUUGGGUUGGACUGUUAAUGGGCCACUGGGGGGAAACAGUGGUGAUGGAAUGGAUGUUGCGACCGUUAACAGAAUUUCAGUCCUGAACUUGGAGGAGCUCUGGCAGCAGCAGUUCAGAACAGAUUUCCCAGAAUGUGGCUACGAUGAGCAACCUGGCCAGUCAAGAGAGGACCAAAAGUUCAUGAAGUUGGUCCAGGAUUCAGCCAAGCUUGUAGAUGGUCAUUACCAGAUUGCAUUGCCCCUGCGAAGCUCCGUGACCAUGCCAAAUAACAAGAAGGUUGCCGAGCAGCGUGCUCUAAACCUGAAGAGGAGGUUCAAAAGGGACUCGUUAUUUCAUCAGCAGUACACUGAUUUCAUGAAUGAUAUGGUCACCAAGGGAUACGCAGAGCAAGUACCUUCAGAUGAGCUGGCACGUACUGAUGGAAGAUUGUGGUAUAUCCCACACCAUGGUGUGUAUCACCCACAAAAGGGAAAAAUCCGUGUGGUUUUUGACUGUGCUGCCACUUUCCAGUCGGCAUCUCUCAACGCUCAACUGCUGCAAGGGCCAGAUCUCACUAGCUCGCUGAUUGGCGUCCUGGCCAGAUUCCGGAAAGAACCGGUAGUGAUCAUGGCAGACAUAGAGUCCAUGUUUCACCAAGUAAAGGUGCCAAGGGAAGAUGCUGAUCUACUGAGGUUUCUCUGGUGGCCCAACGGUGACUGCACCCAAGACCUGGUAGACUUUAGAAUGAUGGUACAUCUUUUUGGUGCAACGUCCUCACCAAGUUGUGCUAACUUUGCAUUGAGGAAAUGUGCUAAGGACAAUGAAGAACAGUUCUGCCGAGAGACCAUUGAAAGGAUUCUGCACUGCUUUUAUGUGGACGAUUGUCUGGUGUCGACGGCCAGUGAGGAAGAAGCAGUGGCACUGUAUCAUGACCUGGUCUCUGUAUGUGCCAAAGGAGGUUUUAAGUUGACCAAAUGGAUGAGCAAUAGCCGUGCAGUGAUGGCAGCAAUUGCAGGGGACCAAAGAGCUAAGGGCAUGAAGGACUUGGAUUUGGACCAUGACCUGCUACCAGUGGAGAGGGUGCUCGGAGUGCAAUGGUGCAUCCAGUCUGAUGUCUUCAAGUUUAGAAUCCUGGUGCAGGACAGGCCCCUGACAAGGAGGGGGAUCCUCUCUGUCAUCAGUUCAGUAUACGAUCCUCUAGGAAUCCUGAGUCCCAUUGUUCUUUCUGCCAAGAUCAUCCUGCAGGAGCUGUGUAGGCAAAGACUCGGUUGGGAUGACCCUAUACCACCAUCAGCUGCACAGGAAUGGACGAGCUGGUUAAAGGAGCUCCAUCAGUUAGAGCACUUCCAGGUUUCGCGGUGCCUUAAACCCCCAGACUUUGGUGAGGUCACUGUGGCGCAACUGCACCAUUUUACAGACACAAGCAAUAAUGGUUAUGGUGUAGUGACCUACCUUCUCAUGCGGAAUGCAUGUUCCCAGAUGCACAGCAGCUUUGUCAUGGGAAAGUCCAGGGUGUCUCCUUUGAAGCCAGUCUCAAUACCCCGCAUGGAGCUCACAGCUGCUACAAUGGCAAGCCGUCUGGACACCUUUUGGAAAAAGGAGUUGCACAUGUCAUUAAUAGAGUCAACGUUUUGGACUGACAGCACCUCUGUGCUGAAGUACAUCAGGAAUGAGACUUCCAGGUUCCGUACCUUUGUCGCCAACAGGGUAGCAGAAAUACUCAAAGUGUCAGAUCCAUCGCAGUGGAAGUAUGUAAACACCCUAAGCAAUCCUGCAGAUGUGGCCUCCAGGGGACUGAGGGUUGACAUGUUCCUGAGGAACAAGGCGUGGUUGUCAGGACCUGCAUAUCUCCUGCAACCUGAACGAGACUGGCCUGUGAGUCCAGAUUGCUUGGGCGAACUCCUGCUGAACGAUCCAGAAGUCAAGGCCAGUGUGGCAGUGAAUGCAGUGCAGGCCUCAGAGGAUGUGGAUGCAACCACUCAACUAAUCCAUCAUUUUUCCUCUUGGACCCAUCUGAGAAGGGCUGUGGCUUGGUUUCUCAGGCUAAAAAACAUGCUGCGGGGUCUCAGCCAGAAGAGGACUGACUCUGCGUCCACUCAGUCGGAGUCAGGGAAACAACAAAGACCGUCCUCGGAGCUUGGAAAAGGAGGGUUCAAAGACCUGGCACCGAGAGGUUUCCUCACGGUAGACGAGUUGCAGGUAGCUGAAAAGGAAAUCAUCAGGUUUUGUCAGAGGAAGAGGUUUCCUGAUGAACUCUCUAGUUUGCAGAAGGGCGAAAGUGUGAAAAGGAGAAGUCACAUCUUCAAGCUCGCUCCUGUGUUGGAGGAUGGUAUCCUGAGGGUUGGUGGUCGGUUGAGCCGAGCAGCCUUACCUGAAGACGCAAAACACCCUGCCAUUCUGACCAAAGAGCUCCACAUUUCAGACGUUCUCCUGAGACACAUACAUCAACAAGUUGGUCAUGGAGGACGCAACUACAUGUUGUCCAAACUACGUGAAAGAUACUGGAUUCCUGGGGUCAGCACAGCCAUAAGGAGAAUUUUGUCAAAGUGUGUUGUCUGCCGCAGGUUGCAAGCUGCCCCAGGGUGUCAGCUGAUGGCUGAUCUUCCUGUUGACAGGGUCUGCCCAGACAAACCUCCAUUCACCAGAGUCGGUGUGGACUACUUUGGACCAUUCGAGGUUAAGAGCCGGAGGAGCAUUGUAAAGAGAUAUGGAGUCAUGUUCACCUGUUUGGCAAUACGGGCUGUUCAUAUCGAAGUGGCUCCUUCGCUGGAUACAGACGCCUUUAUUAAUGCACUACGACGAUUCAUGGCAAGACGUGGCCAAGUCCAAGAAAUUCGAUCAGACAAUGGAACGAACUUUAUUGGAGGGGAGCGUGAGCUGAGAGAGGCUAUCAGAGGUUGGAAUCAAGCUCAGAUAAAUGGUGUUCUUCUUCAGAAGGAGGUGAAAUGGAUUUUUAACCCCCCAGCUGGAUCGCACCAUGGUGGUGCCUGGGAAAGGUUGAUCAGAUCAGUGCGCAAGGUCUUGAACUCCAUCUUGAAAGUUCAAAAUCUGGAUGAGGAGGGAUUACACACUGUCCUCUGUGAGGUGGAAGCAGUCAUUAACGGCCGUCCAAUUACUAAGGCCUCACCCGACCCUAACGACCUCGAAGCUCUGACGCCUAACCAUCUCUUGCUGUUGAAAACCUCUCCUUCCCUGCCACCUGGGCAGUUUCAAAGAGACGACAUCUACGCUCAUCGACGCUGGAGGCAGGUCCAGUACAUGUCUGAUUUAUUUUGGAAGCGAUGGACUAAGGAGUAUUUGCCACAGUUGCAGGAACGUCAGAAGUGGACUGGUAUCAAGCGCAACUUUGUAGAAGGGGACGUUGUGCUUAUUGUGGAUGAAACAGCACCACGGAACUCGUGGGUCAUGGGAAGGGUUAUCCAAACCUUCCCAGACAGAAGAGGAUUUGUGCGACGGCUGCAGAUCAAGACCAAGACCAGCUCCUUGGAAAGGCCCAUAACCAAAGUCUGUCUUCUGCAGGAAUCGGAUGCCUGACUCUUCCGUUCUGGAAGGAUAGUUUGAUUGACUUUACUGACCGACAGCACGACAUGACUUUCCUCCGUGAAGCUGUGUGUCUGAACUUUUGAACUUUUGAACUUGGCUAGACUUGACUUGUGUUCCAGGAAGAAGAGCACAUUGAUGAACUGUAUUGAUGGACUAUUACAAGAACAUUGGUGGAUUUCGUGGUUCAUUUAUUUGUCAUAGUGUAAUUAUUAUAAUGGUAAUAAUUAGGGGCUGGGUUGUAGGUGCCAUAUGCAGAAGUGGUUAGGUUUGUGUGUGUUGACAUCAACUGUCUGGGCUGCACCUUUCAUGCACGUCACGAGGGGGUGUGGUCAAGGCGCGAUGAUUGAAUGAUUGAAUGAAUGGACAUAUAGUCACCUGGGUGCUGCGGCGGCUGCAUGGAGAGGGGGUGAGUAGGGAGAGCGUAUUUUUUGUUGACCGCUUGAUUUAAACGUCAAACUAAGCCCAUAGAUCAUCUUGCCUUGCCUUGCCCUGUCUGUCUGUUUGUGCGGCGUUGGAAAUAAAUGUGAACUCAAUCGGAAAACACGGAAAUGGCUUGUGGUUUGUGUAGCGAGUCACCAAUGCGGAAGCUCCCUCACUUAGCCUCUCAGUGACUUUGUUUUCGUUCCUAGUCACUAUACUAACCUCUUUUAUUUAUUUAUCUAUUUAUUUAGUUUUGUGUGUGUGAGGUUUUGAUUGCACGUAAGGGUGUGCUCCCUGACUCUAUUUAUUUCGUGUUAUUGCUUCCACCUGGAAUAGUUUGGGUCUGUUGGAGAAACUUCCAGAAGGGCAAUAUGGACAACAUUGCUGUGUCCUUGAUAAACUGAGUUAAUGCACAUGUGUAAUGGUAUAUGUGAUGGAGAUGUGCCUUUCUGAAUAAAAAGAGAAUCUCAGAAAAAAAAAAGAAGAAGCUGCCCAUUUUUACUUUGUUUUGUUAAGGUUGUAAAAAUAAUAACUUAAUUUGAAUAUUUAGGCAGAGAUCUGAACUAUGAGUCUGUUGUUUUAUUUUGAAAGGGUUUGUUCUCCCUUUUCUUUUUUCUUCAGUUGUACAGAGAACAAUCUGCUCCUCUAAAAGAGUGAAUAUGAAGUGUGUGGGUUGGGGUGGCUAACAGUAUAAAAAUAAGCUUCAGGCCUCUUUGUCAAUUAAACUCAGUUUGUUAGUUUCUUUGUCUCUCACAGAGUUGGCCAUCACCUGAUAAUGUGGAUGUUCCCAUCUCCCCUCCUUCUCAUCCUCCUCCUCUUUCACUGCUUGAUAUCUUCCUUUGUGUCUUAUUAGCCAUAAGAUGACAGGAGGGGUUUAAAAAUAGAGACGAUCCACCCAGAUUACAGCAUUUUAAUUACAGAGCGCUGGUGCGUUGGGGGUGUAGAGGCCCCUCCUCUGACAGGAGGAGAGCAGGGUUGAGGAGGAAGAGUUGGAAGGCAGCGUGGUUUGUACAAUGAAUGUAAACUGUGGGCUAAUUAGUAUCGUCUGCCACAGUGAUGCUCAAGCUGUAGCCAUCUAUUAUAUAUAAAUUGUGGGCUGCGUGGCACAUUGAACACUUCAUAAACGCACACCUGUGGCCACAUCACACUGAUUUGAAAUAUUAAAACCUGACAGUCACCUGGAGGGGGGACUGGGGGCUUGCUUUAGGUAAAAACAUAGAGGCAACUUCUAUCCAAAUAAUGACUUUGUUAACUUAAUACAUAAAGUACUCGUGUCAUUUUAAGACCCCACACUAUCACUGUGGUGUCACACUUAAACUCAAGACUACCUAGUCAUAAAUAGUCAUACACCAUUAUAAAAGAGGUUAUCAUCUAGAUUUUACUGCUCAUAAGGGAGUGAAAGUGAUACAUGGCUUAAGUUUUGUUCUCAUCUAUGCACAUUAUUUCUAGGCUGAUGAUAGGAAAUCAUGGUUACCACCUCACAUCAUUUUGUAGCCACCAGUAAACGUAUAAAUAUUCUAAUGAGUCAUUAAACCCCAUGUCAUAAUGUAAACUGAGACCAAAUACCCAGAUAAAGGUGAAAUAAAGGAGUGUAUGCAGGUAUUUCUAGAUUAUUUAAUUUCUGUGUUUCCAAAUUGGAGAGGAUACAUUUUUUUUUCUUUUUUUUUUUAAUUGUGCAAUACGGCAUUACAGUGACAAUGCAAGACAGACAACAAACAACAGCAUUUGUGGUUUUGUGUGUGUGUGUGUGUGUGUGUGUGUGUGUGUGUGUGUGUGUGUGUGUGUGUGUGUGUGUGUGUGUAUUAUAUAUAUGAAUAAUAAUGAUAAAAAAUAUUACAAUUGUCAGACAAGCAAAUGGAAAUUAUAAUAGAAUAAUAAUAAUAAUAAUAAUAAUAAUAAUAAUAAUAACAUUCAAUAUUAAUAAAGAUGUGACGACUAACAAUAAUAAUAAUAUGGGUGGAGGGGAGGUCUUUAAAUUUGUGGACUACCUCGGGUCCCUGCCCACUUGCACGAGACCAGCCUGCAUCCCCCCAGGCCCCGUACAGUCUAAAUUCAGAUUAUUUCAAUUGCUUGUAGGAAGAUUUUGGCUGAUUUGACAAGUAACAGACAACAAAAUGAUAUUUCACUUUCUCAUCAAUUUCUUGCUUAUUUAAAGAAAUUACAUCACAGUUUUGAACAAUUAAUGUUUGCUGUAGCAGUUUGUAACACAGACUUUGGACAGUUCUCUAUACAGACAUAGAGCUCCACCCAAUUAAUCUCAAUCCAAAAUGCACAAUAUUGACAAAACUGACCUCCCAGCAGUAUUCCCAUUUUUCUCAUGGCACAAUGGCCUAAAAUACGAAUUAAACUAUAGCUAAUUAUUUUUUAAAUAUAUGUGAAAAUGUAGCAAUAUGGGUUCUGGUUCAACCUUUUAGUCAGGCCAUAAGGCUCAUGUGGUUUAGUACUUAGGUAGAAGGCCUGGGUUUGAUACCAAUCUGCUGCCUCUUUUUCAUGUGUCUCUCUCCUGGUUUCCUGAUCCAUUUACUGUCCGGUCCUCUUUCAAGAAAGGCAUAAAGCCUUCCAGACUUCCCUCCUCCUCUAUAGACCUGCUAUAUGUGUUUGAGGGAUGAAGAAUUAAAAAAUGUGAUUCCGUCCCUGGUAAGAGCUUUAAACCCGUCUGUGAUAAUUACAAAACUCUCCAGAUUCUGCCUCUAUCACAAUCUUUCUUCACCUGUCACAAGGCAUUGUAAACAUGAGUAAACAGAUGAGAGUGAGAGCAAAGCUGAAAUGUCAAAGACAAAAGAGUGAUAAACAGUAUAGUUAUCCUCCUCUUCUGUUGUGUUGUGGAUUAAGAGUUUUGAAAAGGGAACUCAGACAUGAGAAAUAACCCUGUGUGGAAUAAAUCAUCAAUACCUUUAACACCUACCUAGGAUUUAAUCUAAAUGAAACUUUAAGUAUUUAUAACUUUGACAUUUAUAUUUCUUUUCUCAUUCAAUCAGUGUCAUAAAACAGAUUGCACUAUGAUUCAUGUUUGCAACAGUAAAGCUAUAAAAGCUCAGAGGAGGUGGAUACUUUUAUAGGCGGCGUAGUAUAGUUUCAGGUCUUUGAUUUAUCAUAUACUUUGCAAUUGGCAUCUAGGAAUGUGAGUUUUUUUUUUUUAUUUGUUGAGUGGGUGAGUGUCUGUGCAUAAGCAUAGGCAAACUGUUGCGAGUGUUUUAGCACCUUGGCAACCUGCACUGUGUGCCCCUGCAUCUGAGCAAAUACAUAUUGAGUAUCUUGUAAAUAAUAUCUCUUUGGCUCUUCCACGUGGCAUGGAUGGAAGAUAUUUAUCCACAAUGAGCUGUAUGAUCCACAAACUUCCCGGAUAUUUCCAUUCUUUGGUGAUUAGGUCAUAAGCUUAAGCUCUACAUCAUAGCAGCAACGAACCAGCUGUGCGGCUCAAAUAUACCGAUUCUGAGUUUAACAGCUUGAUUUGAUCAUUUCUGGCAUUAGAGUGAUUGAUGUUUGUAAUAUUACGUGCAUAUAGAAAGUGUUGAGCUUCACUGUCUGUGAAUGUACUGCAGUUUUUUCCAAACUGCUGCGCCCCCAGGCAGAGAGCCUCAUUACAGUCCCAUCUCUCCUCCCCAGGCUCCUCAGCAGCCCACCUCAAUGCCACAGCAGCUCUCAGUGACCGUGAUGUCUCCAAGCUCCGCUCCUGCCAUUAGGCCUGGUGGUCACGUCAAGAAAGAGAUGGCAGACUGUCACCACACAGACUAAAUCUCAGAAUCCUACACUCACAGCUCCUCUUGCCUGUCUGUCACAUUGCCACCCUUCUCACAGGCACUCAG